RNAcentral lists this long non-coding RNA (415 nucleotides) under Homo sapiens (human). Its description in RNAcentral is "non-protein coding lnc-SMAD2-3:18". The record is from RNAcentral. Lineage: Eukaryota; Metazoa; Chordata; Mammalia; Primates; Hominidae.
GACGGGCUACGUCGGAGUGUUGUCUUAGAUUCGAAUGCAUGAGGAACUGGAAUAAUCAGUAACAUUUCUCCCAGACAGAGCUGCUCUAAGCUGUGGGCCAACAGGAGGCUGGGAGCUCUCCUCUAAAUUGCUUUGUGACCUUGGACAAGAACCCUCCCCUUCCUGGACUGCAAAUUUCCUCCUCUGUAAAAUGAAGGGUUGGCUCUGGCUGAGAACAUGGCCAAUGACAUUGAUGAGCUCAUUGGCAUUCCCUUCCCCAACCACAGCAGUGAGGUCCUGUGCAGCCUCAAUGAGCAACGGCACGAUGGCCUGCUGUGUGACGUGCUCCUGGUGGUGCAGGAGCAGGAGUAUCGGACCCACCGCUCCGUCCUGGCUGCCUGCAGCAAGUACUUCAAGAAGCUUUUCACAGCCGGCA